Molecule: ribosomal RNA, 445 nt
Filed under: uncultured bacterium
Lineage: Bacteria
Description: bacterial SSU rRNA
Rfam family: Bacterial small subunit ribosomal RNA
Source: RNAcentral
GCCAGACUCCUACGGGAGGCAGCAGUGGGGAAUAUUGCACAAUGGGGGAAACCCUGAUGCAGCAACGCCGCGUGAGCGAUGAAGUAUUUCGGUAUGUAAAGCUCUAUCAGCAGGGAAGAAGAUGACGGUACCUGACUAAGAAGCCCCGGCUAACUACGUGCCAGCAGCCGCGGUAAUACGUAGGGGGCAAGCGUUAUCCGGAUUUACUGGGUGUAAAGGGGGCGCAGACGGCGAUGCAAGCCAGGAGUGAAAGCCCGGGGCCCAACCCCGGGACUGCUCUUGGAACUGCGUGGCUGGAGUGCAGGAGGGGCAGGCGGAAUUCCUGGUGUAGCGGUGAAAUGCGUAGAUAUCAGGAGGAACACCGGCGGCGAAGGCGGCCUGCUGGACCGUAACUGACGUUGAGGCUCGAAAGCGUGGGGAGCAAACAGGAUUAGAUACCCCAGUA